RNA transcript from Panicum virgatum (switchgrass), 1870 nucleotides. It is a transcript of the gene named serine/arginine-rich splicing factor SR34A-like, with no coding region annotated. The transcript has 15 exons. The record is from RefSeq and is a predicted model, not a curated record. Lineage: Eukaryota; Viridiplantae; Streptophyta; Magnoliopsida; Poales; Poaceae.
CCUGACUCGCUCCGGCCGUCUUGUGGCCGGGUCUCCCUUCGAGUGGUCAUAAACCCUCGUCCCCCCUUCUCUCUCAUCCCCACAUCUCUCGACCUACCGGACGCGGCAGCCAAACCCUAGCCUCCCCCUCGACCCGCCCUUCCGGCCACCGCGUGUUCAGCGGUGAAGGAUGAGCAGGCGCUGGAGCCGCACGAUCUACGUCGGGAACCUCCCGGGCGACAUCCGGGAGAGGGAGGUGGAGGAUCUCUUCUACAAGUAUGGGAGAAUUGUUGACAUUGACUUGAAGGUUCCCCCGAGGCCACCUGGUUAUGCUUUUGUUGAGUUCGAAAAUCCUCGUGAUGCUGAAGAUGCAAUUGCUGGGCGGGAUGGAUACAAUUUUGAUGGACACCGCCUAAGAGUCGAACCCGCUCACGGUGGUAGAGGUAAUGCUUCCUCAUAUGACCGUUCAGGUGGCUUUGGUGGUGGAGCACGACGUGGUGUGUCAAAGCACUCAGAGUAUCGUGUUCUUGUCAGUGGACUGCCUUCUUCUGCAUCAUGGCAGGAUUUGAAGGAUCAUAUGCGGAAGGCUGGUGAUGUUUGUUUCUCUGAAGUGUACCGUGAAGGCGGUGGCACCAUUGGAAUUGUGGACUACACAAACUAUGAUGACAUGAAAUAUGCUAUAAAGAAGCUGGAUGAUACUGAAUUCAGGAACGCCUUUGGGCGAGCUUAUAUAAGGGUGAAGGAAUAUGAUGGCAAGCGUGGUCGCUCCUACUCACGUAGCCGAAGCCCAAGUCGUAGCUACAGCAGAAGCAGGAGCCCGAGCAAAUCACCAAGAGCUCGCCGCUCAGCAUCUAGAUCCCGGUCGAGGUCUGUUUCUUCCCGUUCAAGGUCUGCAUCAAAAGGGCGUUCUCCGUCAAGCACCCUGGUGCCGUCAAUUAAGUGAACACAGCUAUAUUCCCAGACUCAAUUGUCUCGCCGUUUAAUCUGGGAUUGUACGGUGAUCUGGGGAUUGCGCAUUAGGAUAUUGAGGAUGGGAUUUUCGCAAUUUGCUACAAUUCAGUUGGUUUUAUAAGGUAUGGUUGCUAAUUGAGAGCUUCUAUGGAAAGCUAAAAUCGUCCACAUGUUUUACCUAAUGUACUGUAACUGAUUGCCAUCAGAGCUUGGGCUUAGCGCAUUGUUUGGAAUACUGGACAUAGGAGCGUUAAGGAUUGAUGAUCUGGAUUAUGGUGGUACAGUGACUAGGAAUAUGCUUGGAGUCCAAUGCUUGGGGAAUGAGUUUUCUUCCUACCUCGGGCACACUCUUCAGAUGGUUGCUGUAGUUCAUAUGCACUGUUGACAUUAUGCUACUUUACAUUAUUGCAUGGAACUGAAUGCUUCUGUUUUCGAUGAGCUUUUAUUGCUUUCGUUCGGCUGCGCGAGGCGUCAUGGCUUUUGGAAUCAAGUUGUUAAAGCCGCAUUUCGGGUAUUGAAUUCAGUUGUUUCUGGAACCUUUUGCAGAUCACCAGCAAGAUCCAAAUCUCCUAAUGCUUCUCCAGCAAAUGGUGAAGCAGCAAGCCCCAAGAAGCAGAGCCCAAGCAGAAGCCCAUCUGGCUCACGCUCUCCUGAUGCGAAACCUGAAUAAAACUGGUGUGCUCGACGAGGCAUUGCAGAUGGGAGUCCAGAGCUCAGCUUUGUCUGGACACCUGAUGUCCUCCAUAUUGUUCUAGUACCAUCGCUGUCCUAGCAACUGUGCAAUGAGAUUGGAUAUUAACUAUCAGUUUGUAUCGUUGGACCCCCCACUUUGUUAUGUUUUCUGGCCCGCUGAAGGGCUCAUUUUUACUUCAAUUAUUCGUGGCUGUUGAAUGCUAUGUGGAUUUGGAUUAUGUUGACUAAAUCAUGUUGUUCUGGACCU